AAGACUAUAGACCUGCGGAGUACCUGCGGAAGGAUCAUUACAUGGCGGAGGAGGUGGGCACCUAGUAAAAACAAAACCCUAGGUGUGUUGCCUACCACGCUUUCUACCCUUGUCUAUUUGCACCUUUUGUCGUUCCCUCGGUGGGUCUUGAACCUGCCGGCGGCAACUUUCAAAAACCUUUUGUAGUUAGUAUCUAAUUCUUCUGAUCAAAUAUUCAAUCGUUACAACUUUUAACAACGG
RNAcentral lists this unclassified non-coding RNA (240 nucleotides) under soil metagenome. RNAcentral's name for it is "partial contains 5.8S ribosomal RNA, internal transcribed spacer 2, and large subunit ribosomal RNA". The record is from RNAcentral.